This 253-nucleotide ribosomal RNA is filed under the name uncultured bacterium. RNAcentral describes it as "partial 16S ribosomal RNA". It matches the Rfam family "Bacterial small subunit ribosomal RNA", at positions 524 to 776 of the family's 1533-position model. The record is from RNAcentral.
UACGGAGGGGGCUAGCGUUGUUCGGAAUUACUGGGCGUAAAGGGCGCGUAGGCGGCCAAGUGUGUCAGGGGUGAAAUCCCAGGGCUUAACCCUGGAACUGCUUCUGAAACUGCUUGGCUAGAGUGAGUGAGAGGCGGACGGAAUUCCGAGUGUAGCAGUGAAAUGCGUAGAUAUUCGGAGGAACAUCGGUGGCGAAGGCGGUUCGCUGGUACUCAACUGACGCUGAGGCGCGAAAGCGUGGGGAGCAAACAGG